RNAcentral lists this transfer RNA (58 nucleotides) under Dipodomys ordii (Ord's kangaroo rat). It matches the Rfam family "tRNA", at positions 8 to 63 of the family's 71-position model. Rfam says of the family: Transfer RNA (tRNA) molecules are approximately 80 nucleotides in length. The record is from Rfam by way of RNAcentral. Lineage: Eukaryota; Metazoa; Chordata; Mammalia; Rodentia; Heteromyidae.
UGGCUCAGUGGUAGAGCACUUGCCUUGCAUGCAUGAUGCCCUGGGUUCAAUUCCUCAG